Sardina pilchardus (European sardine) is the source of this 276-nucleotide long non-coding RNA. RefSeq lists it as uncharacterized. NCBI's taxonomy places the organism in Eukaryota, Metazoa, Chordata, Actinopteri, Clupeiformes, Clupeidae. The transcript is spliced from 3 exons. The record is from RefSeq and is a predicted model, not a curated record.
AAAAAAGUUUACUUUUCCAAGCACUGUAAUUGGCUGGUCUGCUUACUCUGUGGAGGUCUGUGAGCCUAAUACGAGCAACUCUGGUAUCUCCAAAGCUACUGCAAGAUGCACGAAUAGCACGGUGUUUGAUGAUCUUCAGGAGAUAGACUGUGGACUCACCCUGGAUAAACUUCUGAAUAAUAUUUCUGGCCCUAUCAAUCAGGAGGAUGCGCAGAAGCUUGCAACCAGUACACAGAUGCUGACCUCCAAUCCAGCUAAACUAAACGCAUCAGAAAU